This 2129-nucleotide long non-coding RNA is filed under the name Homo sapiens (human). RNAcentral's name for it is "HSALNT0236003". Lineage: Eukaryota; Metazoa; Chordata; Mammalia; Primates; Hominidae. The record is from RNAcentral.
CCCAGGCCCACCUCCACACGUGCUCCUUCCUUCUCCCAGCUUGCUCAGACAAGCCCAUGAAUAGAACAUUAAAGGCAAAACCUUCUAAAAGGAAAAGCAGCUCCCUGGUAGGAGUCACCCCACUAAAUGUCAAAUGCAGAGCAAGGCUUCUUGCCUUGUGCGCUUCUCACUCAUGGAGUCACCUUAGCCUCCAUAUCCCCAUCAUCCUAUCGCCGUAUAAAUAAAUCAUGGUCAGAAGAAUGCCAAUUUCCCCCCAGGGCCUCAUGAAUCUCUCAACAUAAGCAUAUGUAAAGGCCCCCUUCACUGCGUGCUGGUCCUGGUGCCCAGAAAGAGAUAGCAAAUCCUGUGGGGAUGAUUUUGGAGGCAGAAGCAAACUUUCUACCACCUCAGUGGGCUGAAAGUUGGGAGCCCAGCUUUUGUCCUGAUUUGGGAAAGACCCUUGCUCACGUAGUUGUCACCAUGAUGCCACUACCCUCUGGAAUCAACUCAGUGAGCUGCCAAGUGGCCCAUCGCUGGGGGCUGCAGUGGUCUGUCCCCUGGCAGACAUGUCACGAGUCGUGCCCACCCACCCCCUGUGAGGGCGAGCCACACACCCACUCAGCAAGUGUUGUUCCUGACAUGUGGCACACACAGCGCUGGCCUGCCCACUCCUGGGAGCCCCUGCCCCCACUGACUGGCUCACCAUCGUGCCACGGCACCGAGCCCUGCCAGUGGACCAAUGGUGUGGGUGCCAGCAGAGGCUCUGGUGCACUAGGGUGUCCUGCUCUGCAACAGUGACCUCUGCCACACACACUACAGGGAGCCUGUUGCAUGCUUUGCCAGGUGUGUUUCUGUACAUACACACACACACACACACACACACGCACACACACUAUGGUACCAACUCUUUUGCUGUGCCAGCACAGAGGUCUCCAGAGCGACUCUCCUGAAUCAGAUAGCAGGGGCUGUUUGCAGUUUCGUUUCCACGCUUCGCUGACUGGUUAGACAGUGAUCACAGGUUCGGAAGCACGAGCCUCACCACAGCGGAGGAGGCCUCCACUCUGAAGCGGGAUUCCACGCUCCUGCACCCUAAGAUCAGCUAGACUCUCUGCCUUGUUUCAUCUUCUUUCUUUUCCUAAAGAAUCACGGGGAGAACUGACCUCUCUGGGACUCAACCGUGGCUGGAAGGGGACAGGAGAAGCCCUUUCUGGAGGACAGCUGAGCCCUGCAGCUGCCAUCCUGCCUGGCAGGCUAGGGCUGGGCUGCGGGAAGGCCCCCCAGGAGGGAGGUCCGGCCACUGCACCCCGAGGAAAGGGCUGCUUUCGGCACUCUGCGUGGAGGUCCUGGCUUCUGCCGUCCCUGGAGGCUCCGUUCCCGUUUCGCCAGCUAUUUUGCUGCCUCGGCCAUCUGUUCCCUCCCUGUCAUCUCCUCUCUGCUUUAACCUUAACCACUACUUCACUGCAGAUGGUACCAGGCAGUUCUGCUCUCGACAUCCUUCACGACGCCUGGCCCUCCUUCUCAUCUCCAGCAAGUGAACCGCUCUGUCCUUUUUAAAGCCUCAUCCCAAAGACACGGCCAGAGCUUGGAGUUGGAUUCGCCCCACACAACUCCCCCUCUUUGAUGCCAUCUGCUUUCAACUCCACCACUGGCCAGGGGCAAACACCUACCCCUUCCCCUGCCUUUUCCUCCUGAGACUUCUUCUCAAACUCGGCCAAGAAGCUCUCCUGGCAUGGACAGCGUGUCUGCUCCGGGUCUCUACCUGGUCUCCAUCAACAGAGCCAUGUAACCGCCCAGAGGGCUCCAGGUCCGCAAGCUGAGGCGGAGGCCAGAAACUCUGAAGUUCACUCCUACUGUGGAGGAACGAGGGCUCGUGCUGGGAGUUUGGGUCAUGAACAGUUUCCCUGUAGAAAAUGGACCUGAACACUCUGCAGUAAGGAAUUGUUUCCCAUGCUGGCAUGGUGGGAACCGAACCAAAACACAUUUUCUAUGUUGUCUGAGCUCACAGGGAACAUCCCUCUGCUGUCCUUGCUGUUAUUCUGGCAUGCUGGUGAGAAAAUGCAUGCAUGGGCUUUACUUAGCAACUCGCUCUGCCUCUCCUCUCUGUCAGGGCGCUCCCCUAAAAUCUCUCCUCUUGACGUCUUUUUUCUGGC